This 425-nucleotide ribosomal RNA is filed under the name uncultured bacterium. RNAcentral's name for it is "bacterial SSU rRNA". It matches the Rfam family "Bacterial small subunit ribosomal RNA", at positions 354 to 796 of the family's 1533-position model. The record is from RNAcentral.
GUGGGGAAUAUUGGACAAUGGGGGCAACCCUGAUCCAGCAAUGCCGCGUGAGUGAUGAAGGCCUUAGGGUUGUAAAGCUCUUUUGCCAGGGAAGAUGAUGACUGUACCUGGAGAAUAAGCCCCGGCUAACUUCGUGCCAGCAGCCGCGGUAAUACGAAGGGGGCUAGCGUUGUUCGGAAUUACUGGGCGUAAAGGGCGCGUAGGCGGCCGUUUAAGUUAGGUGUGAAAGUCCUGGGCUCAACCUGGGGACUGCACUUAAUACUGGAUGGCUUGAAUUCGGGAGAGGAUAGCGGAAUUCCCAGUGUAGAGGUGAAAUUCGUAGAUAUUGGGAAGAACACCGGUGGCGAAGGCGGCUAUCUGGACCGACAUUGACGCUGAGGCGCGAAAGCGUGGGGAGCAAACAGGAUUAGAAACCCUAGUAGUCC